UUGAACGCUGGCGGCAUGCCUUACACAUGCAAGUCGAACGGCAGCACGGGUGCUUGCACCUGGUGGCGAGUGGCGAACGGGUGAGUAAUACAUCGGAACAUGUCCUGUAGUGGGGGAUAGCCCGGCGAAAGCCGGAUUAAUACCGCAUACUAUCUACGGAUGAAAGCGGGGGACCUUCGGGCCUCGCGCUAUAGGGUUGGCCGAUGGCUGAUUAGCUAGUUGGUGGGGUAAAGGCCUACCAAGACGACGAUCAGUAGCUGGUCUGAGCGGACGACCAGCCACACUGGGACUGAGACACGGCCCAGACUCCUACGGGAGGCAGCAGUGGGGAAUUUUGGACAAUGGGCGAAAGCCUGAUCCAGCAAUGCCGCGUGUGUGAAGAAGGCCUUCGGGUUGUAAAGCACUUUUGUCCGGAAAGAAAUCCUUGGCCCUAAUACGGUCGGGGGAUGACGGUACCGGAAGAAUAAGCACCGGCUAACUACGUG
RNAcentral lists this ribosomal RNA (485 nucleotides) under uncultured bacterium. Its description in RNAcentral is "partial 16S ribosomal RNA". It matches the Rfam family "Bacterial small subunit ribosomal RNA", at positions 30 to 507 of the family's 1533-position model. The record is from RNAcentral.